GUGGGGAAUUUUGGACAAUGGGCGCAAGCCUGAUCCAGCAAUGCCGCGUGCAGGAAGAAGGCCUUCGGGUUGUAAACUGCUUUUGUACGGAACGAAACGGUCCUGGUUAAUACCUGGGGCUAAUGACGGUACCGUAAGAAUAAGCACCGGCUAACUACGUGCCAGCAGCCGCGGUAAUACGUAGGGUGCGAGCGUUAAUCGGAAUUACUGGGCGUAAAGCGUGCGCAGGCGGUGCUGUAAGACAGGCGUGAAAUCCCCGGGCUCAACCUGGGAAUUGCGCUUGUGACUGCAGUGCUGGAGUACGGCAGAGGGGGAUGGAAUUCCGCGUGUAGCAGUGAAAUGCGUAGAUAUGCGGAGGAACACCGAUGGCGAAGGCAAUCCCCUGGGCCUGCACUGACGCUCAUGCACGAAAGCGUGGGGAGCAAACAGGAUUAGAUACCCCUGUAGUCC
RNAcentral lists this ribosomal RNA (450 nucleotides) under uncultured bacterium. Its description in RNAcentral is "partial 16S ribosomal RNA". It matches the Rfam family "Bacterial small subunit ribosomal RNA", at positions 354 to 796 of the family's 1533-position model. The record is from RNAcentral.